Molecule: small nuclear RNA, 20 nt
Filed under: Arabidopsis thaliana (thale cress)
Lineage: Eukaryota; Viridiplantae; Streptophyta; Magnoliopsida; Brassicales; Brassicaceae
Description: snRNA_05226
Source: RNAcentral
CACAGACCAAACAUGAUCUU